RNAcentral lists this ribosomal RNA (457 nucleotides) under uncultured Alphaproteobacteria bacterium. RNAcentral's name for it is "bacterial SSU rRNA". It matches the Rfam family "Bacterial small subunit ribosomal RNA", at positions 1 to 482 of the family's 1533-position model. The record is from RNAcentral. Lineage: Bacteria; Pseudomonadati; Pseudomonadota; Alphaproteobacteria.
AGGGGUUUGAUCCUGGCUCAGAACGAACGCUGGCGGCAGGCCUAACACAUGCAAGUCGAGCGCGGCGCCGGCCUUCGGGUCGGCUGUCCGAGCGGCGGACGGGUGAGUAGCGCGUGGGCACCUGCCCUCUGGUACGGGACAACCCCGGGAAACUGGGGCUAAUACCGUAUGUGCUCUCCGGCUUUAAGUCGGAGAGGAAAGAUUCAUCGCCAGGGGAUGGGCCCGCGUCCGAUUAGGUAGUUGGUGUGGUAACGGCGCACCAAGCCUGCGAUCGGUAGCUGGUCUGAGAGGAUGAUCAGCCACACUGGGACUGAGACACGGCCCAGACUCCUACGGGAGGCAGCAGUGGGGAAUAUUGGACAAUGGGGGCAACCCUGAUCCAGCCAUGCCGCGUGAGUGAAGAAGGCCCUAGGGUUGUAAAGCUCUUUCGCCGGGGGAAGAUAAUGACGGUACCCGG